Sinocyclocheilus grahami is the source of this 72-nucleotide non-coding RNA. The record is from the annotation of a RefSeq genome assembly. Lineage: Eukaryota; Metazoa; Chordata; Actinopteri; Cypriniformes; Cyprinidae.
GGGGAUGUAGCUCAGUGGUAGAGCGCAUUUUUUUCAUGUUUGAGGGCCUGGGUUCAAUCCCCAGCGUUUCCA